GCGUGAGGGAAGACUGCCCUAUGGGUUGUAAACCUCUUUUAUAAGGGAAGAAUAAGUUCUACGUGUAGAAUGAUGCCUGUACCUUAUGAAUAAGCAUCGGCUAACUCCGUGCCAGCAGCCGCGGUAAUACGGAGGAUGCGAGCGUUAUCCGGAUUUAUUGGGUUUAAAGGGUGCGUAGGCGGUUUAUUAAGUUAGUGGUUAAAUAUUUGAGCUAAACUCAAUUGUGCCAUUAAUACUGGUAAACUGGAGUACAGACGAGGUAGGCGGAAUAAGUUAAGUAGCGGUGAAAUGCAUAGAUAUAACUUAGAACUCCGAUAGCGAAGGCAGCUUACCAGACUGUAACUGACGCUGAUGCACGAGAGCGUGGGUAGCGAACAGGAUUAGAUACCCUGGUAGUCCACGCCGUAAACGAUGCUCACUGGUUCUGUGCGAUAUAUUGUACGGGAUUAAGCGAAAGUAUUAAGUGAGCCACCUGGGGAGUACGUCGGCAACGAUGAAACUCAAAGGAAUUGACGGGGGCCCGCACAAGCGGAGGAACAUGUGGUUUAAUUCGAUGAUACGCGAGGAACCUUACCUGGGUUUAAAUGGGAAAUGUCGUAUUUGGAAACAGAUAUUCUCUUCGGAGCGUUUUUCAAGGUGCUGCAUGGUUGUCGUCAGCUCGUGCCGUGAGGUGUCGGGUUAAGUCCCAUAACGAGCGCAACCCUUACCGUUAGUUGCUAGCAUGUAAUGAUGAGCACUCUAACGGGACUGCCACCGUAAGGUGAGAGGAAGGCGGGGAUGACGUCAAAUCAGCACGGCCCUUACACCCAGGGCUACACACGUGUUACAAUGGCCGGUACAGAGGGCCGCUACCAGGUGACUGGAUGCCAAUCUCAAAAGCCGGUCGUAGUUCGGAUUGGAGUCUGUAACCCGACUCCAUGAAGUUGGAUUCGCUAGUAAUCGCGCAUC
RNAcentral lists this ribosomal RNA (948 nucleotides) under human gut metagenome. Its description in RNAcentral is "bacterial SSU rRNA". It matches the Rfam family "Bacterial small subunit ribosomal RNA", at positions 399 to 1350 of the family's 1533-position model. The record is from RNAcentral.